AAACUUGUUGGAUACAUCAAUUAAUGCAAGAAUGGAUAACUGAAGAUUGAAAAGGAGUUUUGGAUUGGCGAAUAUUUUUGUUCAGUUUUGUUUAUUAAUGAUAGAAUGUAAUGAGAUCCCUGAGGAUUUCAAAGAAUUUGAUCCAGAGAACAGAAGCAAGAGUUGCCCAAGAAAAGGAGAAGGAACAAUUUUGAUGCUGUGGUAGAAAUCUGACGGUAAGAUUAUUGUAGAUGCAGAAAUAUUUUCAAAAAAAGGAGAUCCCUUCAUAGACGUUCUAGUCUCUGUAAAGUGGGAGGUGGUAGUCACAUGUGAGAAUGAGUGACUGGACAGAGAUGGGGUUUUGAAGAGCUUAGUGAAGAGAAUGGGAGAAGGUUACUGAGAGACACAACUGCCAGGAAGCAUCAAACAUUCAGCCAGAGUUAGAGACCAUGAAUUUUUAAUGUCACCAAUCUACGCUGGCUUGGGUAGUAUUUCCUGCCGCACGGUUCUGCAACAAGGAUCUUGAAGACAGAUGGUUAGACUCAGUAUAAAAAUGUACAUUAAUAAAGCUGUGUACAAAAGAAGCCUCAGUAUUCUCAUCUGUGAAAAAUGGGUAUGCACAACAUUUUAUGCGUCUGUAAGAAAUGAAGCAAUUCAUGAAAACCACUUUUCACAGUGCUUGGCAGAGUAACAGUGAAUCAGUGUCGUCAUCAUCAUCAUCAUCACCGCCAUCUUUAUACUGAGUCUAACCAUCUGUCUUCAAGAUCCUUGUUGCAGAACCGUGCGGCAGGAAAUACUACCCAAGCCAGCGUAGAUUGGUGACAUUAAAAAUGCAUGGUCUCUAACUCUGGCUGAAUGUUUGAUGCUUCCUGGCAGUUGUGUCUCUCAGUAACCUUCUCCCAUUCUCCUCACUAAGCUCUUCAAAACCCCAUCUCCGUCCAGUCACUCAUUCUCACAUGUGACUACCACCUCCCACUUUACAGAGACUAGAACGUCUAUGAAGGGAUCUCCUUUGAAAAUAUUUCUGCAUCUACAAUAAUCUUACCAUCAGAUUUCUACCACAGCAUCAGAAUUGUUCCUUCUCCUUUUCUUGGGGGGUCUAUAGUUUUCUCUUCUUGUGAUGUUUUAUCUGGCUUUGGUAUCAGAGUAAUUCUGGGCUGAAAAAAAUGAGCUGGGAAGUGUUCCUUUUCUGUCCAUUUUCUCAGUUGUAAAAACUGAUAUUUCAUCUUUAAAUAUUUGAUGGCAUGCCUUAAUUAAGACAUGAGAGGCUGGGCUUUUGUUUGUAGGAAGAUUUUUAAAUUACUAAUUAAAUUUCUUUACUUGUUCUGGUCUUUUCUAAUUUUCUAUUUCUUCUUGAAUCCAUUUUGGUAAUUUGUAAACAAAAUUAUUUCCUUCCUUCUGCUUACUUUGGAUUUAGUUUGCUCUUUUAUCCCCCAGAUUUUAAAGGUGAAAAUUUAGGUUGUUGGGAUUGGAAACUUUCUUUUUUGGUGUCAUAAAUAUUUAAAGUCAUAAAUUUCCCUGUACACAUUAUUUUAUUUGUAUUCUAUAAUUUUCAUCUGUUUUAUUUUAGUUUUUAUUCAACUCGAAACAACUUUUGAUUCUCCUUUGAUUUCUUCUUUGACUCAUGGAUUAUUUAGAAGUGCAUUAGUACCCAAGUAUUUGGUGCAGAUUUCUUUCUGUUGUGGAUCUCCAAUUUAAUUUUGUUGUGUUUAGAAAACAUAUGUUGCAUGAUUUCAGUUUUUUAAAAAUGUAUUGAGAAUUAUUGCAUGGCCCAGCAUGUAAUCCAUUGUGAAGAAUAUUUCAUUCUAAAGAUGUCUAUUCUGCAGUCCUUGAGUGAAAUGGGCAAUAAUAUCAAUUAAGUACCAUUGGUUGAUAAUGUUGUUCAGCCUUUUAUAUGCUUGCUGAUUUUUUAUUGAGUUACUUAUUAUAUCAGUUAUUGAAAUGGAGAAUUGAAAUCCCCAUUAUUUCUUUGUCUAUUUCUCCUUUCAAUACUGUUAAUUUUUGCUUCAAGCAUUUGGGUUUCUGUUAUUAGUUGCAUAUACAUUUAUAAUUGUUAUGUCUUUCUAAUGGAUUGACACUUUUAAUAUUAUGAAAUGUCUU
This 2079-nucleotide long non-coding RNA is filed under the name Camelus dromedarius (Arabian camel). RNAcentral's name for it is "lncRNA (ENSCDRG00005016045.1)". Lineage: Eukaryota; Metazoa; Chordata; Mammalia; Artiodactyla; Camelidae. The record is from RNAcentral.